UUUGGAGACAAUUUUGAAGAAACGAGAUUAGGGUUAGGGUUUCACCUAUUUGGGCGUAUCCCCCGUAUAAAAUCCUAGUCUUUUAACAACUAAUUCUCCUCUCCCUCGCCCCCCACUCCCUCUCUGUAUGUUUUGCUCUGCAAUUUUUUUUUCUUUGCCUGGUUCUGUUCCUGUUUAGGUAAUAGCCGUGAUGAAACUUCAGUUCUGUGUACCAAAGACUCUCUUCGGAGUUGGUCUGUGACGGCAACACAACCCUCUAAGAAGUUCUGAGCAUUUUUUUUUUCUUGAAAUGUUUUCGCAUACGGUGUAGUUUGAUUUUAGAUCUGUCUUUUCGAAAGCUCAUUUUUUGAUUUUGGGAGUGUUGUGCGUGGUUUGAGAUGGAAAAAGCGAGGUGACGAUAGAAUUCAUUGGUCUGUCAAUCCACUGAUAUCAACAUCAGAUGAUGUUAAACAAUGAAUCCCGACAGGUUUUUCAUGAAUUGGAAACAGAGGAAGUUUAUGUACAUAUAAUUGCUGUGAGUGCUAGUGAUUUGAAUUUGGUUGGGGCAAGUGAUGAAUCUCAUAAACUUAUGGGUAAUUUGCGUCUGAAUUUUUUCAUUGAUGCUAUAUCACCUUGGAGACCUGAUGCCGCUUACCUUCUUCUUCUUCUUCUUCUGCUUCUUCUUUUUUGUUGAAAUUGAUUUGCUUAUUAUUUAUUGUUUGAAGUUUGGUCAAGAACCUGUUUUGGUUUUGGCUGUUCAAUUCCAUCAAGUUUAUGUCUGCUCAUUUUGAUGCUAACAUUCGCAUUAUGACAGGUUUCUAAAAUUUGUUUGGACCCCUUCAUGUUCCUAACUUCGGAUUAUCUGAUUUAGGUUUGAAUAAAAACCUCUGUUUGAGUUUCUUGGCUAUCAAAAUUGCUCUGAUGUUUCUCAAUCAGUUGUUCAGGAAUUUCCUUAAAUCUUUUGGGGCUUUAAACCAUGGUGUGGUCUGUAAUCUCACAACAUUUUGUUUUCCACGUGAGGCGGGCACAUCUUUGAACAAUAGUUUUACAACAUGCGGAAAGAUAAUAUUUUGUUCGAAAAA
Vitis vinifera (wine grape) is the source of this 1061-nucleotide long non-coding RNA. RefSeq lists it as uncharacterized. The transcript has 2 exons. Lineage: Eukaryota; Viridiplantae; Streptophyta; Magnoliopsida; Vitales; Vitaceae. The record is from RefSeq and is a predicted model, not a curated record.